This 85-nucleotide transfer RNA is filed under the name Komagataeibacter xylinus. RNAcentral's name for it is "tRNA-Leu". It matches the Rfam family "tRNA". Rfam says of the family: Transfer RNA (tRNA) molecules are approximately 80 nucleotides in length. Their secondary structure includes four short double-helical elements and three loops (D, anti-codon, and T loops). Further hydrogen bonds mediate the characteristic L-shaped molecular structure. tRNAs have two regions of fundamental functional importance: the anti-codon, which is responsible for specific mRNA codon recognition, and the 3' end, to which the tRNAs corresponding amino acid is attached (by aminoacyl-tRNA synthetases). tRNAs cope with the degeneracy of the genetic code in two manners: having more than one tRNA (with a specific anti-codon) for a particular amino acid; and 'wobble' base-pairing, i.e. permitting non-standard base-pairing at the 3rd anti-codon position. RNAcentral also lists the same sequence under 3 other names. Lineage: Bacteria; Pseudomonadati; Pseudomonadota; Alphaproteobacteria; Acetobacterales; Acetobacteraceae. The record is from RNAcentral.
GCGAGCUUGGCGGAAUGGUAGACGCACGAGACUUAAAAUCUUGCGCCCGUUACAGGGCGUGCGGGUUCGAGUCCCGCAGCUCGCA